GCCUGGGUGGCUGAGUCAGUUAAGCAUCUGACUUCAGCUCAGGUCAUGAUCUCAAAGUUUGUGAGUUCAAACCCCACGUUGGGUU
This 85-nucleotide transfer RNA is filed under the name Felis catus (domestic cat). It matches the Rfam family "tRNA". From Rfam's summary of the family: Transfer RNA (tRNA) molecules are approximately 80 nucleotides in length. Their secondary structure includes four short double-helical elements and three loops (D, anti-codon, and T loops). Lineage: Eukaryota; Metazoa; Chordata; Mammalia; Carnivora; Felidae. The record is from Rfam by way of RNAcentral. RNAcentral also lists the same sequence under 2 other names.